UACGCAGGUGGCAAGCGUUAUCCGGAUUUAUUGGGCGUAAAGGGAACGCAGGCGGUCUUUUAAGUCUGAUGUGAAAGCCUUCGGCUUAACCGGAGUAGUGCAUUGGAAACUGGGAGACUUGAGUGCAGAAGAGGAGAGUGGAACUCCAUGUGUAGCGGUGAAAUGCGUAGAUAUAUGGAAGAACACCAGUGGCGAAAGCGGCUCUCUGGUCUGUAACUGACGCUGAGGUUCGAAAGCGUGGGUAGCAAACAGG
RNAcentral lists this ribosomal RNA (253 nucleotides) under uncultured bacterium. Its description in RNAcentral is "partial 16S ribosomal RNA". It matches the Rfam family "Bacterial small subunit ribosomal RNA", at positions 524 to 776 of the family's 1533-position model. The record is from RNAcentral.